RNAcentral lists this ribosomal RNA (512 nucleotides) under uncultured eukaryote. RNAcentral's name for it is "eukaryotic LSU rRNA". It matches the Rfam family "Eukaryotic large subunit ribosomal RNA", at positions 1280 to 1786 of the family's 3401-position model. The record is from RNAcentral.
GUGUAACAACUCACCUGCCGAAUGAAUUAGCCCCGAAAAUUUUGAUGGCUCUCCAGCGUGCGACCGAUACUCGGACAUUGCAACGAAAGUCUGAUUGCAAUGAGUAGGGGGGGCGUAGGCGUCUUGUCGAAGCUUUGAGCGUGAGCCUGAGUAGAAAGGCGUCUAGUGCAGAUCUUGGUGGUAGUAGCAAUUAUUCAAAUGAGAACUUUGAAGGCCGAAGUGGAGAAGGUUUUCCAUGAGAACAGCAAUUGGUCAUGGGUGACUCGGUCCUAAGAUAUUGGUAAACACCUUGCAAAUGAGCUUCGGCUCGCGAUCGAAGAAGGGAAAAUGAGGUUAAUAUUCCUCAAGCUGGCUAUGGAUGUCACGGUAACGUUUGUGAGCUCGGUGACACCAGCGCGUGCCUCUGAAAGAGUUAUCUUUUCUUUCCUAACAGUCAAGCGACCCUGAAAUCGGAUUAUCCGGAGAUGAGGGUUGUAAGGCUGGAAUAGUGUAUGUUUCUUGAUACAAAUUAG